Molecule: ribosomal RNA, 1021 nt
Filed under: uncultured bacterium
Lineage: Bacteria
Description: partial 16S ribosomal RNA
Source: RNAcentral
AACAUUUCACAACACGAGCUGACGACAGCCAUGCAGCACCUGUCUCAGCGUUCCCGAAGGCACCAAUCCAUCUCUGGAAAGUUCGCUGGAUGUCAAGAGUAGGUAAGGUUCUUCGCGUUGCAUCGAAUUAAACCACAUGCUCCACCGCUUGUGCGGGCCCCCGUCAAUUCAUUUGAGUUUUAACCUUGCGGCCGUACUCCCCAGGCGGUCGACUUAACGCGUUAGCUCCGGAAGCCACUCCUCAAGGGAACAACCUCCAAGUCGACAUCGUUUACGGCGUGGACUACCAGGGUAUCUAAUCCUGUUUGCUCCCCACGCUUUCGCACCUGAGCGUCAGUCUUUGUCCAGGGGGCCGCCUUCGCCACCGGUAUUCCUCCAGAUCUCUACGCAUUUCACCGCUACACCUGGAAUUCUACCCCCCUCUACAAGACUCAAGCCUGCCAGUUUCAAAUGCAGUUCCCAGGUUAAGCCCGGGGAUUUCACAUCUGACUUAACAGACCGCCUGCGUGCGCUUUACGCCCAGUAAUUCCGAUUAACGCUUGCACCCUCCGUAUUACCGCGGCUGCUGGCACGGAGUUAGCCGGUGCUUCUUCUGCGGGUAACGUCAAUCGACGCGGUUAUUAACCGCAUCGCCUUCCUCCCCGCUGAAAGUACUUUACAACCCGAAGGCCUUCUUCAUACACGCGGCAUGGCUGCAUCAGGCUUGCGCCCAUUGUGCAAUAUUCCCCACUGCUGCCUCCCGUAGGAGUCUGGACCGUGUCUCAGUUCCAGUGUGGCUGGUCAUCCUCUCAGACCAGCUAGGGAUCGUCGCCUAGGUGGGCCAUUACCCCGCCUACUAGCUAAUCCCAUCUGGGUUCAUCCGAUAGUGAGAGGCCCGAAGGUCCCCCUCUUUGGUCUUGCGACGUUAUGCGGUAUUAGCCACCGUUUCCAGUGGUUAUUCCCCUCUAUCGGGCAGAUCCCCAGACAUUACUCACCCGUCCGCCACUCGUCACCCAAGAGCAAGCUCUCUGUGCUACCGUCC